AGUGAACGCUGGCGGUAGGCCUAACACAUGCAAGUCGAACGGCAGCACAGUAAGAGCUUGCUCUUACGGGUGGCGAGUGGCGGACGGGAGAGGAAUACAUCGGAAUCUACUUUUUCGGGGGGGAUAACGUAGGGAAACUUACGCUAAUACCGCAUACGACCUACGGGGGAAAGCAGGGGAUCUUCGGACCUUGCGCGAUUGAAUGAGCCGAUGUCGGAUUAGCUAGUUGGCGGGGUAAAUGCCCACCAAGGCGCCGAUCCGUAGCUGGACUGGGAGGAUGAUCGGCGACACUGGAACUGGAACACGGUCCAGACUCCUACGGGAGGCAGCAGUGGGGAAUAUUGGACAAAGGGCGCAAGCCUGAUCCAGCCAUACCGCGUGGGUGAAGAAGGCCUUCGGGUUGUAAAGACCUUUUGUUGGGAAAGAAAAGCAGCAGGUUAAUACCCAGCUGUUCUGACGGUACCCAAAGAAUAAGCACCGGCUAACUUCGUG
RNAcentral lists this ribosomal RNA (492 nucleotides) under uncultured bacterium. RNAcentral's name for it is "partial 16S ribosomal RNA". It matches the Rfam family "Bacterial small subunit ribosomal RNA", at positions 29 to 507 of the family's 1533-position model. The record is from RNAcentral.